AGUAAGUCAUUCCACCAUGACUUUUUGGAGUUUGGAACGGUUUGAGGCUAACUUUAAUUCCUUGAUUUUCGUCUGAGUUUCUUUUUCUCUUUCUAGUUCUCAAUCUUCUUCUUGGUUUCUAUCCAUGAUUUGUUAUGAGGUUCAAGCCAAAAUAAUUGUGGAAUCCCAUGUGAUUCUUGCUGCUUCAAUUAAUCAGUCUUGUAAUCGUGGUUGUUUUUGAGUUUGUAGAAGAGCAAGAGGUUCUCAGUUAUAUUUUUUGGUUAGGGUUUACAAUUUAAUAGAUCUGCUUGUAGAUCGAUGAUUAAAUCUAGGUCUCAUUGAGAGUUUUUCAUGAUCUGUACUCUCCAUUUGGAUGGUUUCUGUUGUGCUUAGUGUUUGGAAUAAUCUCUAAGCCCCGGAUUAGACGUUUGGUGAACUGGGUAAACAUUCUUGGUGUUCCUUUUAUUUUUCUUCUCCAUGGUUGUUUUUUUCUUGUUUAUCUAUUUCAUAUUUCUGGGGUUAAAAAA
Molecule: long non-coding RNA, 506 nt
Filed under: Olea europaea (common olive)
Lineage: Eukaryota; Viridiplantae; Streptophyta; Magnoliopsida; Lamiales; Oleaceae
Description: long non-coding RNA (OEUR_LNC014763)
Source: RNAcentral